CCUUUAGGCAAAUCCGGAGAGCUUAGCUGAGGCGUGAUGACGAGGCUCUUUUGAGCUGAAGUUGCUGAUACCCCGCUUCCAAGAAAAACCUCUAAGCUUCAGGUAACAGGAAUCCGUACCCUAAACCGACACAGGUGGGCGAGGAGAGUAUCCUAAGGCGUUUGAGACAACUCUGAUGAAGGAACUCGGCAAAUUAGUGCCGUAACUUCGGGAGAAGGCACGCCCGCGCAAGCGGGCCGCAGUGAAGAGGGGGUUGCGACUGUUUAUCAAAAACACAGGACUCUGCAAACACGAAAGUGGAAGUAUAGGGUCUGACGCCUGCCCGGUGCUGGAAGGUUAAGUGAUGGGGUUAGCCGCAAGGCGAAGCUCUUGAUCGAAGCCCCAGUAAACGGCGGCCGUAACAAUAACGGUCCUAAGGUAGCGAAAUUCCUUGUCGGGUAAGUUCCGACCUGCACGAAUGGCGUAACGAUAGCCCCACUGUCUCCAUCAGAGGCUCAGUGAAAUUGAAAUCGCUGUGACGAUGCAGUGUUCCCGCGGCAAGACGGAAAGACCCCGUGAACCUUUACUAUAUCUUUACACUGGAUUUUGAGUUUGUUUGUGUAGCAUAGGUGGGAGCCUUUGAAGCGCUGGCGCUAGCUGGCGUGGAGGCACCGGUGAAAUACCACCCUGAUAAACUCGAAGUUCUAACCUAGUCCAGUCAUCCUGGACAGGGACAUUGUAUGGUGGGUAGUUUGACUGGGGCGGUCUCCUCCCAAAGAGUAACGGAGGAGUGCGAAGGUUAGCUCAGCGCGGUCGGAAAUCGCGCUCUAGAGUGCAUAGGCAUAAGCUAGCUUGACUGCGAGACAAACAAGUCGAGCAGGUACGAAAGUAGGUCUAAGUGAUCCGGUGGUUCUGUAUGGAAGGGCCAUCGCUCAACGGAUAAAAGGUACUCCGGGGAUAACAGGCUGAUACUGCCCAAGAGUCCAUAUCGACGGCAGUGUUUGGCACCUCGAUGUCGGCUCAUCUCAUCCUGGGGCUGUAGCAGGUCCCAAGGGUCUGGCUGUUCGCCAGUUAAAGAGGUACGCGAGCUGGGUUCAGAACGUCGUGAGACAGUUCGGUCCCUAUCUGCCGUGGGCGUUUGAGAUUUGAGGAGAGUUAACCUUAGUACGAGAGGACCGGGUUGAACGUACCUCUGGUGUUCCAGUUGUCACGCCAGUGGCAUCGCUGGGUAGCUAUGUACGGACGGGAUAAACGCUGAAAGCAUCUAAGCGUGAAGCCCACUCCAAGAUGAGAUCUCACGCAGGUUUAACCUGCCUAAAGAGUCCACGAAGACUACGUGGUUGAUAGGCGCGAUGUGGAAGUGCAGUAAUGCAUGUAGCUAACGCGUACUAAUUGCUCGUGAGGCUUGACCAA
Molecule: ribosomal RNA, 1392 nt
Filed under: metagenome
Description: bacterial LSU rRNA
Rfam family: Bacterial large subunit ribosomal RNA
Source: RNAcentral